RNAcentral lists this ribosomal RNA (301 nucleotides) under uncultured bacterium. RNAcentral describes it as "partial 16S ribosomal RNA". It matches the Rfam family "Bacterial small subunit ribosomal RNA", at positions 509 to 807 of the family's 1533-position model. The record is from RNAcentral.
CAGUAGCCACGGUAAUACGAAGGGCGCAAGCGUUAAUCGGAAUUACUGGGCGUAAAGCGUGCGUAGGCGGUGAGUUAAGUCUGCUGUGAAAUCCCCGGGCUCAACCUGGGAAUGGCAGUGGAUACUGGCUCGCUAGAGUGUGUCAGAGGAUGGUGGAAUUCCCGGUGUAGCGGUGAAAUGCGUGGAGAUCGGGAGGAACAUCAGUGGCGAAGGCAGCCCCCUGGGCCAAUACUGACGCUCAUGCACGAAAGCGUGGGGAGCAAACAGGAUUAGAUACCCGGGUAGUCCCUGUCUCUUAUAC